Molecule: long non-coding RNA, 296 nt
Filed under: Brassica napus (rape)
Lineage: Eukaryota; Viridiplantae; Streptophyta; Magnoliopsida; Brassicales; Brassicaceae
Description: long non-coding RNA (BNAP_LNC015800)
Source: RNAcentral
UGCUAUAGUUUGCAAAAAUGAAUAUCUUUGUUUAUGUAUUAUAGUUUUGAAGAUAUGGAUCUCGUGGAUACGGAUAGCGCGUGAGCGGGAAACAAAAGACGUAUAUGGCACACAUUGCAAUGUUUGUAAACAUUAUCUACAGGAUAUUUUUGGCGGAUUAGCCACCGAACAUUUAAUGAAAUUUGAACUAUUGCGUGAGUGCAGACAAGCGUUCACCGUUAGCCAUAGCCAUUGACUUCUUCGACGUAUUAGAUUGGUGUUUUAUUUCAAUUGAAUUGGCCAUGCGCGGCUCACAC